RNAcentral lists this long non-coding RNA (2282 nucleotides) under Homo sapiens (human). RNAcentral describes it as "HSALNT0340041". Lineage: Eukaryota; Metazoa; Chordata; Mammalia; Primates; Hominidae. The record is from RNAcentral.
AACAAACAUAUAGAACAGAGACAUUAUGGAGACUUGAGGAUUGAUUUUAUGUAUUGAUUAUGUAUGUAAGUCCCGAUAACAUCUCUGGUUCAGGAAAUUGCAAGAAAAAGAUUGGGAAUCAGAACAGCAGAAAGGUAUUUUUGGAAGGGUAAUUUACUGAUUUUUCGUUUUAAAUUGUUGACAUUGCCUUCGCCGGUGGAAAUGAAUUACUUAUGUGAAUCUGGCAGGAACACAAUUUUUAAAAUUAGAAAAUUAGUCCUCCUUAUUAAGUAAAUGUGGAACUAUCAUUUGAGGAAUACUGGUUUGUAGGGGCAGCAGAUUCUGAGGCUGGCCCAUGGUCCUUUCAUAGGCCUUAUACAGAAGGCGUUUUUUUUUUCCCUCUUGUGGCUUCCUGCUGGUCUGUAUGCUGGAGAGUGGGAAGGGAAGGGCAGGAUCCCUCUCUGCUGGGAGGACCGGUGCCAGAGGAGAAAGGUUAUGUGUAGAAUGGGCUGUCAUGAAUUGAGGAAGAGUCAGGCCGUUAUCGUGGGGUGGGGGAACGGCUGGAAUGUCGCCAGACUGGACGGCAGUUGGACAUUAUUUCUAGUUCCCACAGGAUGAGGUCUACAGCAGUUGAAAUUAAAAAUCAUUUCGACAUCCAGGUAAGAACUGCAGAGCCUUUAAGAAUAAAAUUCAAACUGCAAAGCUGGUUUAACACCUUCCUCAUGGAAUAAAAUUACAAUCUAUCUAUCUCCCAGAGUUUUGUUUUCACAACUUUAAGUUUUAGAAUGUUCAUAAUAGAUGUAAAAGGGAAUGGGUUCUCCAAAAAUGAGCAAAAUAUAAUUAAAAUGUGUUUAGGAAAAUAUAAUUAAAAUGUGUUUAGGUUGUGCAUAAAAAGCCAUCCCUUUCUAUUUCCUUAUAACUCAUUAGGAUUAGCCAUUGAGUAUUAUUUUAAGGUCAACCCAGUUUGUGUCAUGUACAUGCCACAAAGCCUAAGAAGAAGGUUGGAAAGAGGACGUUUCUCACCAUCAAAGUGCCCACAGUUUCCUCUUAAGUCAGGCACUAUGCCUGACUAAACAAGAUGGCUGGCAAACCCACUAUGAUAAAGAUACAGUAUUAUUGGCAUUUAAGGUUCAGCUGAAAGGUGUCAGCAUUUUUCUGGUAGUGGUACUUUGCCUUCCAAACUGUAACAACUGGAUAUUGAUCACAAUAAGUAUUUUACAGCUAAUUGAAAGCCAGAUGUGAUACCCAUAGUUUAUUAUCUAAAAAUUACUUGCACUCCUAAAUUCAGUAAAUUAAUCAGAAUGGGAAUAUUCUGAGCUAAAUGUUACCAUCACCCUGAAUCUGAGCAACAAUAUUGUAUGUCUUCUUGUAUGUCUUAUAAGGUAGAAAAAUAAAAAUCUCAAUACCUACUGUUUAUACAGUCCUCCGUUUGCUUCUUUUCACAUACUAAGUAGAUCUGUAAACUGGUCAAUGUAGACAAUUUUCGGUUCAUUUUAUUUUUAUCAAAGAAUGGGCUGCUGCCAAGUAUCUUUCAAAAACACAGAGGCACACAGAUGUGCCCUGAUCCCUCCAAUGUUAUAACACCAAUUCAUCGACCUCAUUACACAUGUGCAGUGAAAGAGAGAGACACAAGGUUUAGGGAGAAUAGUGUCACCAGAGGUUCUAGUGUCCCAUAAACAUCCAGACGUCUCCAUCUCUGUCUCCCACACACUCACGCAGACAGCUGUGUGUGUGGCAGGUACUCUCUGAGAUGGACCUCAGCGAUCCAUGCCUCCUGGAAUUCAUACCCUGCAUCCCUUCCCCUAAAGUAUGGGAUGGACUUGAUUUGCUUCUAACAGAUAAAACACGGUAAAAGCAAUAGGAUGUCACUUCUGAGAUUAGCUUACAAAAAGACUGUCUCUCAUAUUGGGUGCUCUUGCUUUUUUGUUCUGAGAGAAGCCUGUUGGCUUUUUGUGAGCUGCCUAUGGAGAAAUGCACAUGGCAAGGAACUGAGGGUUGCCUCCAGCAAACUGCUGGUGAGGGAGUGAGGCCUUCAGUCCAACAGCCUUUAAGGAACUGAAUCCUGCCAACAACCAUGAUGGAGUACAGUGGUGCCAUCUUCGCUCACUGCAGCCUUCGUCUCCCGGGUUCAAGCAAUUCUCCUGUCUCAGCCUCCCAAGUAGCUGGGAUUACAGACCCAUCAAGCCUUCAGAUAAGACUGCAGCCUCAUUACAGACCUUGAACUGGAGGCAGCCAGCUGAGUCACACCUGGAUUCCUGACCCUUAGAAACUAUGAGAUAAUAAAUGUUUACAGUUUUAAGCCA